RNAcentral lists this ribosomal RNA (468 nucleotides) under uncultured bacterium. RNAcentral's name for it is "partial 16S ribosomal RNA". It matches the Rfam family "Bacterial small subunit ribosomal RNA", at positions 28 to 507 of the family's 1533-position model. The record is from RNAcentral.
GAUGAACGCUGGCGGCGUGCUUAACACAUGCAAGUCGAACGGAAAGGCCAGUGCUUGCACUGGUACUCGAGUGGCGAACGGGUGAGUAACACGUGGGUGAUCUGCCCUGCACUUCGGGAUAAGCCUGGGAAACUGGGUCUAAUACCGGAUAGGACAAUGGUUUGGAUGCCGUUGUGGAAAGUUUUUUCGGUGUGGGAUGAGCUCGCGGCCUAUCAGCUUGUUGGUGGGGUAAUGGCCUACCAAGGCGUCGACGGGUAGGCGGCCUGAGAGGGGGUAAGGCGACAAUGGGACUGAGAUACGGCCCAGACUCCUACCGGAGGCAGCAGUGGGGAAUAGUGAACAAUGGGCGCAAGCCUGAUGCAGCGACGCCGAGUGGGGGAUGACGGCCUUAGGGUUGUAAACUCCUUUCGCUAGGGACGAAGCGUAUUUGUGACGGUACCUGGAGAAGAAGCACCGGCUAACUACGUG